This is a long non-coding RNA of Diceros bicornis minor, 299 nucleotides long. RefSeq lists it as uncharacterized. The record is from RefSeq and is a predicted model, not a curated record. NCBI's taxonomy places the organism in Eukaryota, Metazoa, Chordata, Mammalia, Perissodactyla, Rhinocerotidae. The transcript has 3 exons.
GGCCUGAGGUGCUGAAGAUGCACCUGGAGACAUGGUCGUCCUGCUGGAGAUGGUGGGCGUCUACAAUGGCAAGACCUUCAGCCAGGUAGAAACCUAGCGAGAGAUGACUGGCCACUACCUAGAAACGUUUCUAACAAAUCACUGUAAAGUAUGAGGUUUUCUGAGAGUUUUCGCUCAACCUCUAAGAGAUGACUUUCCUAGACUCCAGCGGAAUGAGAAUGAACCUCAAGAAUCUGAGUACUUUAACUGCAAAUUACAAAUCACGUAAUAAUUAUGACAACAAAAGAGAAAUAACACAU